This 990-nucleotide long non-coding RNA is filed under the name Citrus x clementina. RNAcentral describes it as "Citrus clementina (C. clementina) long non-coding RNA (CCLE_LNC001035)". The record is from RNAcentral. Lineage: Eukaryota; Viridiplantae; Streptophyta; Magnoliopsida; Sapindales; Rutaceae.
GUAAUAUCCCCCUAAUAUUAUUUUAAGGGCAUUAUUAUAAAAAAAAAAGUAAGGUUAAGAGUGUAAUAUAUUCAACAACAAAUAGUGUCUUGAGUUUUUUUUUUUUUUUAAUAUAAAAACUAAACGAAUACUUUAAUUCAAAGUAGUAAGACUAAACAAACAUUUACCCCUAACCAGAACCUAACAUUUCAGUCCCCAUCGACACUAUCUCUUAACGACAUCUCUAAUACUCAUUAAAAAUCAAAUGAUGCAUUUGUCUACUGCACAACGAAACUUAAUAUACACGUCUUCAUUGAAUUGAAAAUUUUGUCGGCCGAAAUUUUUUUGGGCGGUGCUUAUUGCUAGGCCUGGCCAGAUUCUUGCUUGAGAAAUUUGCAUGCGUUCGUAAUUUGCAUGUCUUGAGUGUGCUUAAAAAUGAUGAUUUAUCAUUCAAUCUUUUUUGCAAAGUGCCCCACAAAAUUAAAUCAUAUGUAUGCCAAGCCAAAGUCAAUGAAUAAAAAAAGGUAACUUCAGUUCAAACUUUUUAUUGGCUUUCUUCACUUUGGCAAGCACAAUCAUACACCUUCGAUCAUGAUCAUGAUCAUGAAUCAUUGAGUUGAUGGGCAUCUUGCACUUCCCGAGGAAAUGUGCGUGUAUAUCACCAUUCUUUUCUUUCCUUUUUUUUUUUUUUUUUAAUUCACUCUCUUUUAUUGUUACUUUUAUUAUUAACAUGCAAUCAAAUAUCUGUCGAGACCUGACUUGAAUUAGGGUUAAUUGAAUUAUGAUGGGCGGCAUAACCACUUAUAACACUAAGUUGAUCUCGACCGCCCCUAAUUUUUUUAAAUUUUAAUUCCUUUUGACAGUAACCUAUAAAGUAAAUAAAUUAAGAAAUAAAUAAUGUUAACCUGUAGAAAUUAGUAAUGUUAACCUGUAGUAUUUUGAACACACAUGUAUAUGUAUGGUAAUUUAGUCAUUUUUUUUUACUUUAAAUUCCUUAUUUAGGCGGUGUUU